AAAAAUUAAAUAAAUGAUCCAAACCAUAAAAUUAAAAUGUUUACAAAAAUUAAGUAAAUAAUCCAUCAUAGACAGAGACAAAAUAUAAAAGUUUCAAAAAAAAAAAAAGAAAGAGCAAAAUGGAGUGAUGACGAGAACAAGAUCGUCAGCAGGAGAUGCAAAUUUGUGUAGCGGGGUCUUCAACAAGAGAUAAAGAUUUGUGCAGGGGGAUCUUCAGCGAUUAUCGGUAUCAGGAUCGUAGCAGAUAAAGAGGAUGAUGAUGAGAACUGGAUCAAAUGGAGAUAAAGCAGCAACGAGAUCGUCAGCGGCUGCUGUUGUUGCCCAACUUCAGCCAUUUGAUCUUCGAUCUAGCGGCGGUGGUAAAUGAUUAAUGGGCUUGGACGGCAAUGGCUUAUUGUCAAUAAUUGAGGCUUUGGUUUAGAAAAGUGCCGGAAACAAAAAUAGACAACUAGAAACAAAAUGUCAAAACUAGAUAUAAAGGUGCCAGAAAAUUCAAUAUUACCUCAAUUUUGUUUGUGAUCCAAAUAACAAUAACGGUCGAACUAACUUAGCUUAAGAUCAACAUAAACUGCAAAAAGAAAUUGCCACGAGAAUUGAAAAGACUGUAAAGAGGUUGAGAGCAGUUGAAGAGAGAGAAAUUAGGGCCGGCUGCCCUAAUUUUUC
RNAcentral lists this long non-coding RNA (663 nucleotides) under Citrus maxima (pomelo). Its description in RNAcentral is "long non-coding RNA (CMAX_LNC000068)". Lineage: Eukaryota; Viridiplantae; Streptophyta; Magnoliopsida; Sapindales; Rutaceae. The record is from RNAcentral.